Lytechinus variegatus (green sea urchin) is the source of this 1816-nucleotide long non-coding RNA. RefSeq lists it as uncharacterized. The record is from RefSeq and is a predicted model, not a curated record. The transcript has 2 exons. NCBI's taxonomy places the organism in Eukaryota, Metazoa, Echinodermata, Echinoidea, Temnopleuroida, Toxopneustidae.
GGGGGGGCCAUUAUGCCCCCCCCCCCCGGAGAAUUAGGGUUAAUCAUUGACAAAAAAAGAAAGGUUUGUUGCUCAGGCAUUCAGCUUAGAGACCAUAAAUUGUCAGCGUCCUGUAUGAACAUGCAUGGAAUCACCCAAAUUCUUAUGCUUUGGGCAUAUUAUCUUCAGAUAGAACAACAAACCAGAACUAUAAAGGCAACAAAAUAGCUACAGGAAACAAAGAUAUGCAGUCAGUCCAUGUUGUCCGAUAUUUGGUGAUAUCAUGCAUUUCCUGUUAUACUCAAUUUAUUUCCAUCAAUGUGCUUGAAAUAAUACUGCUUGCAUCAAGAUCAACUUUUUUAUUGGAUGAACCAUUUAUGCUUUCACCAAAGUUUAAAAGAUUUUUGCACCUGCAUAAGCAAAUAAAAUGGUAUGCAUCAUAUGGCCAGUUAUCAAAGGUUAAAGUUGAAAAAAACCUGUAAGUCCUUGGAUGGCUCUUUUGAUUGCCUGAAUAGCAGUUGCAUUUGUUAUUCCCGAUUUGCCCUUAAAUGCAAAUUUUCUGCAGCUGAAAGUUCUCCAUUUCAUUUAUAAACAUACGCUGUAGCACAAACAGUAAUCAAGAUAAUGUAAUUUUCUCAAACGAAAGGAAUUGGAGCAAAAAUACUUGAAAAGACAGUUCAUAGACUCAUUUUCCUACAUAAAUUAGUAAGUGGAGGGACACUCCAACUUCGACAUUUCAUUUUGUUCAAAACAUAUUCACAAGAGGGUUAAGCAUUCUGAUUUUAUAGUGGAAGCUGACGUCUUUGGUAAUGCUUUUAUAUAGAUGUAUUAUGUGUAAUAGACAUGUACUUAUGGGCUUUCCUAUAAAAGAAUUUGUAUUUCUAAAAAUAUAAAGCAAAGCUUUGCUUCAUUAUGAUUCUUUCAAAAAGUAUAGAAAAAUUGAUUCAUGUUUAAAAGAUUUUCAUGAUGUCAUGAAAUCCUUCCGAAUGUCAUUCUUCCAGUUUCAGUGACAAUGAAUAUAAUUUUGAAUUAUUUUUUUCUAGAAUUGGAAUAUACUAUAUUGGAUAGACUAGGUAGUGUGACAUUUUCCAUUGUUUGUAAAUACAUUGUUGCAUUGGGCUGUUGUGUUAAUUGUAUAAUGUGCAGUGUAACAUCCACCAAAUUAUUUUUGUGUGAAGGAGAAUCCUAUAGAAAUUUUACAAUCUACAAAAUAAACCCGGACUAAGUAGUGAAUUGAAUCCGCUCACUGAAGUGGAAUGAUUAGGUGAAUAUCAUUCUUACUCAUUAAAAAUAAUUGGAAUAUAGAUAGGUUUUCUUUUUAUAACAUAAAUAUAUGAAGAGUAUUCAAAAUUGUAAAAUAUUUAAAGUUUAUAAGGAGUGCCAAAUUUUAAGGGGAAAAAAAUCACUGCUAUUAAUGUAGCCUGAAUCAUUACUGUACAUUAUACAGUAAUCCUGUUAAUGUUGAUCCUUUUGUAAUCACAAGAUUUUUAACUAUACGAAACUGACGGGUUGAAGAAAACUGAUGUACGGCGUGGGAAAUAAUUUUUGACCAUUCCGUAUGGGAACGUAGUAGAAAAGUGAUUUAAUAAUUUCUGAAACUGUACAUGUAUAGCCCUACCCAGAAUCCUGUGCACGUACAUGAAUGAUAUAUCAUGGUAUAUGGAGGUUGUGAAAUGUGCGUGUUUGCCCACAGUGCAAUACAUUGGUAAAAUACAUAUAUUCCAUAAAUAGCUUGUUUAUAUUAGAAUGCAUUUUGUAUGAAUAUUCAAUGUAGUUGUCGGUAUUUAUGGUGGGUGUAUGCAUUAAACCUGUGUUUCUAACCGUUAGAAACAUGAAC